Molecule: ribosomal RNA, 752 nt
Filed under: uncultured Alphaproteobacteria bacterium
Lineage: Bacteria; Pseudomonadati; Pseudomonadota; Alphaproteobacteria
Description: bacterial SSU rRNA
Rfam family: Bacterial small subunit ribosomal RNA
Source: RNAcentral
GGGUGAGCGGCGGACGGGUGAGUAACGCGUGGGAAUAUGCCCUUCUCUAAGGAAUAGCCUCUGGAAACGGAGAGUAAUACCUUAUACGCCCUUUGGGGGAAAGAUUUAUCGGAGAAGGAUUAGCCCGCGUUAGAUUAGGUAGUUGGUGGGGUAAUGGCCUACCAAGCCUACGAUCCAUAGCUGGUUUGAGAGGAUGAUCAGCCACACUGGGACUGAGACACGGCCCAGGCUCCUACGGGAGGCAGCAGUAGGGAAUCUUAGACAAUGGGGGCAACCCUGAUCUAGCCAUGCCGCGUGUGUGAUGAAGGCCCUAGGGUCGUAAAGCACUUUCGCCAGAGAUGAUAAUGACAGUAUCUGGUAAAGAAACCCCGGCUAACUCCGUGCCAGCAGCCGCGGUAAUACGGAGGGGGUUAGCGUUGUUCGGAAUUACUGGGCGUAAAGCGCACGUAGGCGGAUUAGUAAGUUAGAGGUGAAAUCCCAGGGCUCAACCCUGGAACUGCCUUUAAUACUGCUAGUCUUGAGUUCGAGAGAGGUAAGUGGAAUUCCGAGUGUAGAGGUGAAAUUCGUAGAUAUUCGGAGGAACACCAGUGGCGAAGGCGGCUUACUGGCCCGAUACUGACGCUGAGGUGCGAAAGUGUGGGGAGCAAACAGGAUUAGAUACCCUGGUAGUCCACACCGUAAACGAUGAAUGCCAGACGUCAGCAAGUAUACUUGUUGGUGUCACACCUAACGGAUUAAGCAUUCCGCCUGGG